RNAcentral lists this ribosomal RNA (508 nucleotides) under uncultured bacterium. RNAcentral's name for it is "bacterial LSU rRNA". It matches the Rfam family "Bacterial large subunit ribosomal RNA", at positions 1583 to 2076 of the family's 2925-position model. The record is from RNAcentral.
GAACGAAGUCACUGAGGCCACGCUUCCAAGAAAAGUCUCUAAGCUUCAGAUCACGAGGACCGUACCGCAAACCGACACAGGUAGGCAGGGUGAGAAUCCCAAGGCGCUUGAGAGAACUCGGGUGAAGGAACUAGGCAACAUAGCACCGUAACUUCGGGAGAAGGUGCGCCCAGUAUCGUGGUGAUAUGCAUCAUUGAGCGAUAUUGGGCCGCAGUGACCAGGCCGCUGCGACUGUUUAUCAAAAACACAGCACUCUGCAAACACGUAAGUGGACGUAUAGGGUGUGACGCCUGCCCGGUGCCGGAAGGUUAAUUGAUGGGGUCAGCGCAAGCGAAGCUCUUGAUCGAAGCCCCGGUAAACGGCGGCCGUAACAAUAACGGUCCUAAGGUAGCGAAAUUCCUUGUCGGGUAAGUUCCGACCUGCACGAAUGGCGUAACGACAGCGGCGCUGUCUCCACCCGAGACUCAGUGAAAUUGAAAUCGCUGUGAAGAUGCAGCGUUCCCGCGGC